UACGAAGGGUGCAAGCGUUACUCGGAAUUACUGGGCGUAAAGCGUGCGCAGGCGGUUGUGUAAGACAGAUGUGAAAUCCCCGGGCUCAACCUGGGAACUGCAUUUGUGACUGCACGGCUGGAGUGCGGCAGAGGGGGAUGGAAUUCCGCGUGUAGCAGUGAUAUGCGUAGAUAUGCGGAGGAACACCGAUGGCGAAGGCAAUCCCCUGGGCCUGCACUGACGCUCAUGCACGAAAGCGUGGGGAGCAAACAGG
RNAcentral lists this ribosomal RNA (253 nucleotides) under uncultured bacterium. RNAcentral describes it as "partial 16S ribosomal RNA". It matches the Rfam family "Bacterial small subunit ribosomal RNA", at positions 524 to 776 of the family's 1533-position model. The record is from RNAcentral.